UGAAUCUUGCAGAACAUAAAGACUGCUAGUCUUUUGACCUAUCAUCAGGACGAGAGCUCCACGAGAUACCUUAAUACUACUUGUGUAACAUCCCAAACCCGACCAGGAAGAUCUGACUUGAAUCUAACGUGCCACAUUAGCCACCAAAGUGACUCUCCCUUAUCUCCAAACCUAACCUCCAACACACCACUUAUACAUAGCACGCAAACAUAAUGCUAAUCAUUAACAAAGCGGCAGAAAACACACAAACAAAAAAAUAAGGGUUCACAUGAAAAACAUAUCAAAGUUCACAAUUAUGCGAAACAAUAAAUCCUAACACUUAGAAACAUUCACAAGUUUGUAGCACACUAAAAGGCUUUGCACAACAUUCAAUCACAUCUCGCAUGCAAUGAUUUUUAAAUCUUAAGUUCACAAAACAUUAAUAGUUUGUUAACCACUUAGAUGAUUCAUACAUCCUAGUUUUGCUAAGUAUCGAGCUUCACAAACAAGAUACACAUAAUGAAAAAGACUAACACAUUUAAGUUGGUGAUUAAUAAAGUAAUCAUGCUUGAAUAAAAUCAAUUUAUUAGUUAACAAAUAAAAGGUAAAAUCCAUAAUUUAGUUUGCAAAAAUAGAAUAACUUAAAAACAUAGUGUAAUAGUCAAUUUUGGCCCAGGCCAAUAAAAAUAAAACCCAAAUAAACAAUUAAAAAGUCCCAAAUAAUAAAAAGUCCAUUACAAAAUUAAAACCAAACAAAAAAAAACCAAAUAAAACCCAAACCAACCCAAAUUUUAAAACCUAAUUAAAACCCAAACUACCCAAGCCUAAUUCUAACCCUAACCCAUUACAAAGAAAACAGCAGCAGCCCUAGCCACCAGGCUUCAGCCACCGCUCCUCACCAGCAGGGCCACCACACGCGCCGCUUCGUUGCACGCCAUCUCCUCCACGUGUCACACAACACCUGCAACAAAAUCAAAUGCAACAACGGAGAGAGAGAGAGCACGCGAGCAACAGUGAAGUAAAUAGAAAAAAAAACAAAAAACAGAAACAAAAGGUUGUGAUUUCGGCUAUAAGAGCCAUUUCGAUAUCUCUGUAAUUUUUUUACGAAUAUUGAGCAAUCAAAAAGCAAAAACACAAGAAAAAAGGUUGACUGUUUAUUUCCAUUUCCUUUUUUCAUUUCAUUUCAUUUUUUUAUUUUUUUAUUUUAUUAUGAAUCUAUUUUAAACAAAAAAUAUAAAAGAAGAAACCUCACCUGAAUCCCCACGGAUGCGUCAUCGGAGAGUCUUCUCUGUCACUACAAUCGGUUUUGAAGGGGGGCUGAGGGUUCUCUUCCUUCGUUCUUAUAGGACGCUGAGGGUUUGACCUUCAAAAGGGCUUCGAAAUGGGGUUGAAAUACUCAUUUUUGCACGUCGCCAGCCACUGAACACCGUGGUGGUGUGGCGGGCAGUGAGAACCCGAUCGUCAGAGAAACAAAGGGGGAGAGAGAGUGUUUUGUGGUUCGUUUUUUUUUUCGGGAAAAUAAAAGAGGAAACGGCUGAAUGAAAAAGAAGGAAAUUUUUUGUUUUAAAUCAUCUUUGAAACGGCGUCGUUUGGUGGGGGUGGGGGUCUCUGCAUUCUGCCUAAAGGGGAGAUUU
Molecule: long non-coding RNA, 1613 nt
Filed under: Gossypium barbadense (sea-island cotton)
Lineage: Eukaryota; Viridiplantae; Streptophyta; Magnoliopsida; Malvales; Malvaceae
Description: long non-coding RNA (GBAR_LNC010966)
Source: RNAcentral